GCAACGAGCGCAACCCUUAUCCCUAGUUGCCAUCAGGUAAGCUGGGAACUCUGGGGAGACUGCCGGUGAUAAACCGGAGGAAGGCGGGGAUGACGUCAAGUCCUCAUGGCCCUUACAUCCCGGGCUACACACGUGCUACAAUGGCAGGUACAGAGGGCUGCGAAGCCGCGAGGUGGAGCGAAUCCCAGAAAACCUGUCUCAGUCCGGAUUGAAGUCUGCAACUCGACUUCAUGAAGGCGGAAUCGCUAGUAACCGCGAAUCAGCAGGUCGCGGUGAAUACGUUCCCGGGCCUU
RNAcentral lists this ribosomal RNA (293 nucleotides) under uncultured Latescibacterota bacterium. RNAcentral describes it as "uncultured Latescibacteria bacterium partial 16S ribosomal RNA". It matches the Rfam family "Bacterial small subunit ribosomal RNA", at positions 1089 to 1382 of the family's 1533-position model. Lineage: Bacteria; Pseudomonadati; Candidatus Latescibacterota. The record is from RNAcentral.